AACAUUUUGUGCUGCUGCUCUCAAUGCCUUAAAAGCUUUCCACUUGCCACCAGUGGCAAGCACCUGAAAGGCUUUUACUGUGAAAGAAGCUAGUCACCAAGAACUAUUCCCCAUUUGAGCGGCAUACUUCAGGCGCUCAGCUGUCACCUUGGGUAGUCUGACAGGAUCUCACUGGAGGUCACCUUGAGAAUCAGGAGGACAUAAACAUGUGGGGUUCAGGCUCCAUCCUUAGAUCCGGCCCCCUUCUGCACAGACCAACCAGUAGGAGUCACUAUAUCGACAAGGACAUCAGCGCUCACUUGCUCACAACAAGCCACUACUGCCAACAGUGUUCGAUGGUUAAAAAAAAAAAAGAAUACUGCCAAAUGCGUGCUACUUCACUUUAAUGAUUGAGCUGUGUGACAAAGUGUGGGGACAACAGGAGGUGAUGGACACAGUUAGUAGAGGGUUGCUUUCAUCUUAGCCUUGUUAGACAGUGCAGACAUUUGGCUUCCAGCAUGCUUCAUAUUCUAAUGAUGCUCACAAUAUAAUUUAUUCUAUCUGUAGCCUAUAAUAUAAACCCAUGUUUACCUAUAUUUCACAAUGCAUUAAUCAAAGUUGUAUUCAGAUGUAGUUUGUCCACAUUACCUUUAUAUUUCUCACAAAAAAAAAUCACAUUACACCCACUUUUCACACAUCUCAACACGCAAAUGCACUUAACUUGGACAACACUACCUUUCCACGGUGACAGUAAACAUCUGUUUUCAUUGUACUGCAUUGUAAGUCUCAUCCAUGUCCAAUGGCUGGAGCCAUUCCCAGUGUGCAUUGGAGGGAAGGCAGGAAACACACACAUCUAUACACUCACACACAGAGACUUACUCUCAGUCACACCUACAGUAUAAGUGAUUUGGAGUCAUCAAUGAACUUGGCCUGGUUUCAGCAAUUGUGUGGGUGUAUCUAUGAUGGGAUUCAUGCACAUUGUGUAUAAUGGGAAGUAUGUAAUACAUAUUAUAUCUCUUAGGCAUUUACAUGUGUGUGCAAGUGAGCUCUGAAAAGCUCAUCACAGAAAGCAAGAAGCACAUUUCUAAAUAGUCAACGUGACAGCUAUUUACAUAAUGAGGUACACCACUUGUAAUUUUACUGCUGUUAAACAGCUGCAAGUUAAUGGUUAGAGAGAAAAGAGACAACAAAGUACUGGCAAUGAUGUUCUGUCUUACUACAAUGUUCUUUUCUCCACUGAUCAGACACAGGUGUACAGUGGACACAGUUACACCCACACAAACGCUGUCAACACCUAAGUUGAUGAAUAUAGCACUCUACAGUAACUGAGUUCCUGACGCCCUUAUAAUAUUUAACAACAAUCAAAUUAAAUUCUCCUUGAAGUGUUUAUCUAGAGAAUUCAUAUAGCCCAGGUAUGAUUACAUUUGUUGUAACCGUAUUUAGAAAUAUAGAUUGCAUUCAAUUGGUUUCCACAAGUGGUGAGAAGGAGGACUCUAAUGGGAUGCUCAUGCAGCCCUGUUUCUGCUUUUGUAGAUGACUAAGAGAGAUUUUGUAGGCAACCGUUUGCUAACACGGUAGACAUAACAACCUGCUAAUAUGAAACAGUAAAACAAGGGAUGUGUCCAAAAUGAUUCCCCAACUGCCAUGUAGUGUCCAAGAAUUGAAUUCUGAAUGUCAUUGUCAUUCAGUGUCAUGAUAUAGUGGCUUAAAAUCCUCACAAUAGACCAAAAAAAGAUACAAGUAAUCCCACAUAAAAUAUAUAUGUCUUUAAAAGGUUCCUAAGAACUGACUGCUGACGUAUUGCGGUAAGCGU
This is a long non-coding RNA of Micropterus dolomieu (smallmouth bass), 1792 nucleotides long. RefSeq lists it as uncharacterized. The transcript is spliced from 3 exons. The record is from RefSeq and is a predicted model, not a curated record. Lineage: Eukaryota; Metazoa; Chordata; Actinopteri; Centrarchiformes; Centrarchidae.